GACGAACGCUGGCGGCGCGCCUAACACAUGCAAGUCGAACGGAGUCAAGAGGAGCUUGCUUUUCUUGACUUAGUGGCGAACGGGUGAGUAACGCGUGAGUAACCUGCCCUGGAGUGGGGGACAACAGUUGGAAACGACUGCUAAUACCGCAUAAACCCACGGAUCCGCAUGGAUCUGCGGGAAAAGGAUUUAUUCGCUUCAGGAUGGACUCGCGUCCAAUUAGCUAGUUGGUGAGGUAACGGCCCACCAAGGCGACGAUUGGUAGCCGGACUGAGAGGUUGAACGGCCACAUUGGGACUGAGACACGGCCCAGACUCCUACGGGAGGCAGCAGUGGGGGAUAUUGCACAAUGGGGGAAACCCUGAUGCAGCGACGCCGCGUGGAGGAAGAAGGUUUUCGGAUUGUAAACUCCUGUCGUUAGGGACGAUAAUGACGGUACCUAACAAGAAAGCACCGGCUAACUACGUG
Molecule: ribosomal RNA, 468 nt
Filed under: uncultured bacterium
Lineage: Bacteria
Description: partial 16S ribosomal RNA
Rfam family: Bacterial small subunit ribosomal RNA
Source: RNAcentral